Long non-coding RNA from Bombina bombina (fire-bellied toad), 162 nucleotides. RefSeq lists it as uncharacterized. The transcript is spliced from 3 exons. The record is from RefSeq and is a predicted model, not a curated record. NCBI's taxonomy places the organism in Eukaryota, Metazoa, Chordata, Amphibia, Anura, Bombinatoridae.
GAACUAGUUAUUGUGAUGAGCACAGAGGGAUCCAGCACUGAUGCAGGGUUCUGAGAUUGAUGUAACAUGUGAGAUGGAGGAGAAAGUGGCUCCCUUGGAGUCUGAUGAUGGAACUUCCACUUCUGGGCAUCAGCCUCCCACCCCUUUCCAUCCAGAAGCCCC